Molecule: non-coding RNA, 298 nt
Organism: Cinara cedri
Lineage: Eukaryota; Metazoa; Arthropoda; Insecta; Hemiptera; Aphididae
Source: the annotation of a GenBank genome assembly
AGCAUAAAAAUUAUAGAAGGUGGGGGUUAAAAUUUGAAAUAUUCAAAAGGCAAAUCCUUGAUAACCACAUCAUACAUAAAUUUUAUACAAUGUUAUUACCCUCUUUCAUUUGAGUAGUUAAUACAAACCUAAUAAAACAUCUUCCUCCCGUAACAACAUGGUAAACGUCUUAUUAAAAUUCGACCGAAAUGUUAUCACUCCCAUCCGCGUACAAAAGCACUCUAAUGCCGUGUUUGAGUUUAUUUGGUCUACAGCGAGACGAUAAACGUGUUCGAAAGUAGCAGGAAUAAGACAUAUA